AGAUUGAACGCUGGCGGCAGGCCUAACACAUGCAAGUCGAACGGUAACAGGGAGCAGCUUGCUGCUCUGCUGACGAGUGGCGGACGGGUGAGUAAUGUCUGGGAAACUGCCUGAUGGAGGGGGAUAACUACUGGAAACGGUAGCUAAUACCGCAUAACGUCUACGGACCAAAGUGGGGGACCUUCGGGCCUCAUGCCAUCAGAUGUGCCCAGAUGGGAUUAGCUAGUAGGUGGGGUAACGGCUCACCUAGGCGACGAUCCCUAGCUGGUCUGAGAGGAUGACCAGCCACACUGGAACUGAGACACGGUCCAGACUCCUACGGGAGGCAGCAGUGGGGAAUAUUGCACAAUGGGCGCAAGCCUGAUGCAGCCAUGCCGCGUGUAUGAAGAAGGCCUUCGGGUUGUAAAGUACUUUCAGCGGGGAGGAAGGCGUUGUGGUUAAUAACCGCAGCGAUUGACGUUACCCGCAGAAGAAGCACCGGCUAACUCCGUGCCAGCAGCCGCGGUAAUACGGAGGGUGCAAGCGUUAAUCG
Molecule: ribosomal RNA, 532 nt
Filed under: Cronobacter sakazakii ATCC BAA-894
Lineage: Bacteria; Pseudomonadati; Pseudomonadota; Gammaproteobacteria; Enterobacterales; Enterobacteriaceae
Description: SSU rRNA
Rfam family: Bacterial small subunit ribosomal RNA
Source: RNAcentral